UACGUAGGGGGCUAGCGUUGUCCGGAAUCAUUGGGCGUAAAGCGCGUGUAGGCGGCCCGGUAAGUCCGCUGUGAAAGUCGGGGGCUCAACCCUCGAAAGCCGGUGGAUACUGUCGGGCUCGAGUACGGGAGAGGCGAGUGGAAUUCCUGGUGUAGCGGUGGAAUGCGCAGAUAUCAGGAGGAACACCGGUGGCGAAGGCGGGUCUCUGGGCCGUUACUGACGCUGAGGAGCGAAAGCGUGGGAGCGAACAGG
Molecule: ribosomal RNA, 252 nt
Filed under: uncultured bacterium
Lineage: Bacteria
Description: partial 16S ribosomal RNA
Rfam family: Bacterial small subunit ribosomal RNA
Source: RNAcentral